UGCUCCACAUGUGGCACCAGUCGUGUUGCUUAUGUGAUUACAAAUCCGGUAAAUAGUCUAAUUCGGUAGGGCACAUUCAUGAAAGGGAAGGGGAUUGUAGUUACGACGUAAGGAACAUAUCCGAUAUCAUUUGUGAAACGGUUAUUCCAUAACGGUCAACCAACUCGUGAUGGCGUCCGUAAAAUUUACGAAGGGAUGAUUUCAACUUCACCAUUUGGAACUCUUGGUUUAAUAGCUUCCUUGUGAACAGCAACCCUCUAUCAAGAAAAUCAUGAUAGGAAAUACAAG
This 288-nucleotide long non-coding RNA is filed under the name Mytilus galloprovincialis (Mediterranean mussel). Lineage: Eukaryota; Metazoa; Mollusca; Bivalvia; Mytilida; Mytilidae. The record is from RNAcentral.